Molecule: ribosomal RNA, 510 nt
Filed under: uncultured bacterium
Lineage: Bacteria
Description: partial 16S ribosomal RNA
Rfam family: Bacterial small subunit ribosomal RNA
Source: RNAcentral
GACGAACGCUGGCGGCGUGCUUAACACAUGCAAGUCGAACGAAGAGCGAUGGAAGCUUGCUUCUAUCAAUCUUAGUGGCGGACGGGUGAGUAACGCGUAAUCAACCUGCCCUUCAGAGGGGGACAACAGUUGGAAACGACUGCUAAUACCGCAUACGAUCUAAUCUCGGCAUCGAGGAUAGAUGAAAGGUGGCCUCUACAUGUAAGCUAUCACUGAAGGAGGGGAUUGCGUCUGAUUAGCUAGUUGGAGGGGUAACGGCCCACCAAGGCGAUGAUCAGUAGCCGGUCUGAGAGGAUGAACGGCCACAUUGGGACUGAGACACGGCCCAGACUCCUACGGGAGGCAGCAGUGGGGAAUCUUCCGCAAUGGACGAAAGUCUGACGGAGCAACGCCGCGUGAGUGAUGACGGCCUUCGGGUUGUAAAGCUCUGUUAAUCGGGACGAAAGGCCUUCUUGCGAAUAGUGAGAAGGAUUGACGGUACCGGAAUAGAAAGCCACGGCUAACUACGUG